UACGAACCGUCCAAACGUUAUUCGGAAUUACUGGGCUUAAAGAGUUCGUAGGCGGCUGGAAAAGUUGGGUGUGAAAGCCCUCGGCUCAACCGAGGAAUUGCGCUCAAAACUGUUUGGCUAGAGGGAGAUAGAGGUGAGCAGAACUGAUGGUGGAGCGGUGAAAUGCGUUGAUAUCAUCAGGAAUACCGGAGGCGAAGGCGGCUCACUGGGUCUCUUCUGACGCUGAGGAACGAAAGCUAGGGGAGCAAACGGG
Molecule: ribosomal RNA, 253 nt
Filed under: uncultured bacterium
Lineage: Bacteria
Description: partial 16S ribosomal RNA
Rfam family: Bacterial small subunit ribosomal RNA
Source: RNAcentral